Paramisgurnus dabryanus is the source of this 314-nucleotide long non-coding RNA. RefSeq lists it as uncharacterized. NCBI's taxonomy places the organism in Eukaryota, Metazoa, Chordata, Actinopteri, Cypriniformes, Cobitidae. The record is from RefSeq and is a predicted model, not a curated record.
CAGAAACACAUUAUUAGUGGCAUUUAAAGACAUAACUUAACACUUGUUUAUACUACAUUUUAUGUUCAAUCCAUAGAGCAAUCGUUUUGAGUCCUGAGACCCUGGGAUGACCACCGUGAACAAAUACAGAAGCACUCAAUUUGAGUCCUGAGACCCUGGGAUGACCACCGUGAACAAAUACAGACUGCAAAAAGGCAGUCUUGAUGGUACUAGGAUGAAUGCAAAUAAAGACUAACCACCUGACUUCAGCGGUCCAGUCUCUUGUGGGAAGCAGGUGCUUGUUACCCCAAAUACGGAUGAAGUGUGACGAAGAG